Molecule: ribosomal RNA, 294 nt
Filed under: Glossodoris hikuerensis
Lineage: Eukaryota; Metazoa; Mollusca; Gastropoda; Nudibranchia; Chromodorididae
Description: partial 16S ribosomal RNA
Rfam family: Archaeal large subunit ribosomal RNA
Source: RNAcentral
AUGGCCGCGGUACUUUGACCGUGCUAAGGUAGCGCAAUCAAUUGGCUCUUAAUUGGGGUCAGGUAUGAAUGGAGUAACGGAGUUCGGCUGUCUCAAGAUUAAUAGUUUGAAGUUACUAUUUAGGUGAAAAAGCCUAAAAUUGGAAAAGGGACGAGAAGACCCUUAGAGUUUUACUUAGUCAAAAUAUAAGUUAGGUAUUUUUAAUGGUUUAGUUGGGGCAACAUAGGAGCAUAUCUCCUAAAUAUAAUUAACCGAUUAUUUUAAAUUUGGAUAAACUACCUUAGGGAUAACAGC